CAGUCGCCACGGUAAUACGUAGGUGGCAAGCGUUGUCCGGAAUUAUUGGGCGUAAAGCGCACGUAGGCGGAUCGAUCAGUCAGGGGUGAAAUCCCAGAGCUCAACUCUGGAACUGCCUUUGAUACUGUCGAUCUGGAGUAUGGAAGAGGUGAGUGGAAUUCCGAGUGUAGAGGUGAAAUUCGUAGAUAUUCGGAGGAACACCAGUGGCAAAGGCGGCUCACUGGUCCAUUACUGACGCUGAGGUGCGAAAGCGUGGGGAGCAAACAGGAUUAGAUACCCGUGUAGUCCCUGUCUCUUAUAA
This 301-nucleotide ribosomal RNA is filed under the name uncultured bacterium. Its description in RNAcentral is "partial 16S ribosomal RNA". It matches the Rfam family "Bacterial small subunit ribosomal RNA", at positions 509 to 809 of the family's 1533-position model. The record is from RNAcentral.